This 505-nucleotide ribosomal RNA is filed under the name uncultured bacterium. RNAcentral's name for it is "bacterial SSU rRNA". It matches the Rfam family "Bacterial small subunit ribosomal RNA", at positions 10 to 507 of the family's 1533-position model. The record is from RNAcentral.
AGUUUGAUCAUGGCUCAGAUUGAACGCUGGCGGCAUGCCUUACACAUGCAAGGUCGAACGGCAGCACGGGAGCUUGCUCCUGGUGGCGAGUGGCGAACGGGUGAGUAAUACAUCGGAACGUACCCUGAAGUGGGGGAUAACGUAGCGAAAGUUACGCUAAUACCGCAUAUUCUGUGAGCAGGAAAGAGGGGGAUCGCAAGACCUCUUGCUUUAGGAGCGGCCGAUGUCGGAUUAGCUAGUUGGUGAGGUAAAGGCUCACCAAGGCGACGAUCCGUAGCGGGUCUGAGAGGAUGAUCCGUCACACUGGGACUGAGACACGGCCCAGACUCCUACGGGAGGCAGCAGUGGGGAAUUUUGGACAAUGGGCGCAAGCCUGAUCCAGCCAUGCCGCGUGAGUGAAGAAGGCCUUCGGGUUGUAAAGCUCUUUCGGUGGGGAAGAAAUUGCUUCGGUUAAUACCUGGAGUAGAUGACGGUACCCGCAUAAGAAGCACCGGCUAACUACGUG